Felis catus (domestic cat) is the source of this 85-nucleotide non-coding RNA. NCBI's taxonomy places the organism in Eukaryota, Metazoa, Chordata, Mammalia, Carnivora, Felidae. The record is from Rfam.
GCCUGGGUGGCUCAGUCGGUUGAGCUGACGACUUCGGCUCAGGUCAUGAUCUCACAGCUCGUGGGUUCAAGCCCCACAUCGGGCU